This 2905-nucleotide ribosomal RNA is filed under the name Enterobacter bugandensis. RNAcentral's name for it is "23S ribosomal RNA". It matches the Rfam family "Bacterial large subunit ribosomal RNA". The record is from RNAcentral. Lineage: Bacteria; Pseudomonadati; Pseudomonadota; Gammaproteobacteria; Enterobacterales; Enterobacteriaceae.
GGUUAAGCGACUAAGCGUACACGGUGGAUGCCCUGGCAGUCAGAGGCGAUGAAGGACGUGCUAAUCUGCGAAAAGCGACGGCGAGGUGAUAUGAACCUUUGACCCGUCGAUGUCCGAAUGGGGAAACCCAGUGCAAUCCGUUGCACUAUCGUUAACUGAAUACAUAGGUUAACGAGGCGAACCGGGGGAACUGAAACAUCUAAGUACCCCGAGGAAAAGAAAUCAACCGAGAUUCCCCCAGUAGCGGCGAGCGAACGGGGAGCAGCCCGGAGUCUGAAUCAGCUUGUGUGUUAGUGGAAGCGUCUGGAAAGUCGCACGGUACAGGGUGACAGUCCCGUACACGAAAAUGCACAGGUUGUGAACUCGAAGAGUAGGGCGGGACACGUGGUAUCCUGUCUGAAUAUGGGGGGACCAUCCUCCAAGGCUAAAUACUCCUGACUGACCGAUAGUGAACCAGUACCGUGAGGGAAAGGCGAAAAGAACCCCGGCGAGGGGAGUGAAAAAGAACCUGAAACCGUGUACGUACAAGCAGUGGGAGCACCUUCGUGGUGUGACUGCGUACCUUUUGUAUAAUGGGUCAGCGACUUAUAUUCUGUAGCAAGGUUAACCGUAUAGGGGAGCCGCAGGGAAACCGAGUCUUAACUGGGCGUUAAGUUGCAGGGUAUAGACCCGAAACCCGGUGAUCUAGCCAUGGGCAGGUUGAAGGUUGGGUAACACUAACUGGAGGACCGAACCGACUAAUGUUGAAAAAUUAGCGGAUGACCUGUGGCUGGGGGUGAAAGGCCAAUCAAACCGGGAGAUAGCUGGUUCUCCCCGAAAGCUAUUUAGGUAGCGCCUCGUGAACUCAUCUUCGGGGGUAGAGCACUGUUUCGGCUAGGGGGCCAUCCCGGCUUACCAACCCGAUGCAAACUACGAAUACCGAAGAAUGUUAUCACGGGAGACACACGGCGGGUGCUAACGUCCGUCGUGAAGAGGGAAACAACCCAGACCGCCAGCUAAGGUCCCAAAGUCAUGGUUAAGUGGGAAACGAUGUGGGAAGGCACAGACAGCCAGGAUGUUGGCUUAGAAGCAGCCAUCAUUUAAAGAAAGCGUAAUAGCUCACUGGUCGAGUCGGCCUGCGCGGAAGAUGUAACGGGGCUAAACCAUGCACCGAAGCUGCGGCAGCGACGCUUAUGCGUUGUUGGGUAGGGGAGCGUUCUGUAAGCCGUUGAAGGUGUGCUGUGAGGCAUGCUGGAGGUAUCAGAAGUGCGAAUGCUGACAUAAGUAACGAUAAAGCGGGUGAAAAGCCCGCUCGCCGGAAGACCAAGGGUUCCUGUCCAACGUUAAUCGGGGCAGGGUGAGUCGACCCCUAAGGCGAGGCCGAAAGGCGUAGUCGAUGGGAAACAGGUUAAUAUUCCUGUACUUGGUGUUACUGCGAAGGGGGGACGGAGAAGGCUAUGUCAGCCGGGCGACGGUUGUCCCGGUUUAAGCGUGUAGGUGUGUGUUCCAGGCAAAUCCGGUUCACUUUAACACUGAGGCGUGAUGACGAGGCACUACGGUGCUGAAGUGAUAAAUGCCCUGCUUCCAGGAAAAGCCUCUAAGCAUCAGGUAACACGAAAUCGUACCCCAAACCGACACAGGUGGUCAGGUAGAGAAUACCAAGGCGCUUGAGAGAACUCGGGUGAAGGAACUAGGCAAAAUGGUGCCGUAACUUCGGGAGAAGGCACGCUGAUAUGUAGGUGAAGUCCCUGCGGACGGAGCUGAAAUCAGUCGAAGAUACCAGCUGGCUGCAACUGUUUAUUAAAAACACAGCACUGUGCAAACACGAAAGUGGACGUAUACGGUGUGACGCCUGCCCGGUGCCGGAAGGUUAAUUGAUGGGGUUAGCGGCAACGCGAAGCUCUUGAUCGAAGCCCCGGUAAACGGCGGCCGUAACUAUAACGGUCCUAAGGUAGCGAAAUUCCUUGUCGGGUAAGUUCCGACCUGCACGAAUGGCGUAAUGAUGGCCAGGCUGUCUCCACCCGAGACUCAGUGAAAUUGAACUCGCUGUGAAGAUGCAGUGUACCCGCGGCAAGACGGAAAGACCCCGUGAACCUUUACUAUAGCUUGACACUGAACACUGGUCCUUGAUGUGUAGGAUAGGUGGGAGGCUUUGAAGCGUGGACGCCAGUCUGCGUGGAGCCGUCCUUGAAAUACCACCCUUUAAUGGCUGGUGUUCUAACGUGGACCCGUGAUCCGGGUUGCGGACAGUGUCUGGUGGGUAGUUUGACUGGGGCGGUCUCCUCCCAAAGAGUAACGGAGGAGCACGAAGGUUAGCUAAUCCUGGUCGGACAUCAGGAGGUUAGUGCAAUGGCAUAAGCUAGCUUGACUGCGAGAGUGACGGCUCGAGCAGGUGCGAAAGCAGGUCAUAGUGAUCCGGUGGUUCUGAAUGGAAGGGCCAUCGCUCAACGGAUAAAAGGUACUCCGGGGAUAACAGGCUGAUACCGCCCAAGAGUUCAUAUCGACGGCGGUGUUUGGCACCUCGAUGUCGGCUCAUCACAUCCUGGGGCUGAAGUAGGUCCCAAGGGUAUGGCUGUUCGCCAUUUAAAGUGGUACGCGAGCUGGGUUUAGAACGUCGUGAGACAGUUCGGUCCCUAUCUGCCGUGGGCGCUGGAGAAUUGAGGGGGGCUGCUCCUAGUACGAGAGGACCGGAGUGGACGCAUCACUGGUGUUCGGGUUGUCAUGCCAAUGGCACUGCCCGGUAGCUAAAUGCGGAAGAGAUAAGUGCUGAAAGCAUCUAAGCACGAAACUUGCCCCGAGAUGAGUUCUCCCUGAGACUUUAAGUCUCCUGAAGGAACGUUGAAGACGACGACGUUGAUAGGCCGGGUGUGUAAGCGCAGCGAUGCGUUGAGCUAACCGGUACUAAUGAACCGUGAGGCUUAACCUU